Molecule: long non-coding RNA, 1124 nt
Filed under: Anser cygnoides (Swan goose)
Lineage: Eukaryota; Metazoa; Chordata; Aves; Anseriformes; Anatidae
Description: lncRNA (ENSACDG00005014779.1)
Source: RNAcentral
GGGAGGCCACUGGGAGGGCGCUGGGGGCCACUGGGAGGGCGCUGGGGGCCACUGGGAGGCGCUGGGGGCCACUGGGAGGGCACUGGGGGCCACUGGGAGGGCGCUGGGGGCCACUGGGAGGGCGCUGGGGGGCCACUGGGAGGGCGCUGGGGGCCACUGGGAGGUGCUGGGGGCUACUGGGAGGGCGCUGGGGGCUACUGGGAGGGCGCUGGGGGCUACUGGGAGGCACUGGGUUGGCAUGUACUGGUGGGUACUGGUGGGCACCGGGGCAUACUGGGGCACGCAGUGCUGCAGGUUAGGGCGUACUGGGAUGGACCGCAGGCAUACUGGUGCGUACCGGGGCCUGUUGGCGUGCUUACUGGUGCAUACUGGUGGGUACUGGUGCGCGUGCUCGUUCACGGCGGGGAGGUGGAGCAUGCUAUUUUGUACUGGUUUGUACUGGUAUGCGGUUAGGGGCACGUUGGUUCAUAGUGGUGCAUAUUGGGAUGUACGUUGGGGUGCGCGGUGCCACGUAUACUGGUCCAUACUGGUUUAUACUGGGCAGAGAUGUGGAUGCAUGUUGGGGUGUAUACUGGUCCUUACUGGGGAGAGAGGUAGGAGCCUGCAAAGCGUGGUGCGUGCUGGGCCGCGCACUGGUUCCUGCUGGUUCAUACUGGGAAGAGACGCAGGGCUGCACACUGGUUCUUACUGGUCUAUACUGGUGCAUACUGGGCAGAGAAGCGAGCGCAAUGUGGCUUCACGCUGUGGGGACGCAUCUGUGCUGGCCUGUAUAGAUCUAAAGAAACCCAAACUGGUCCAUACUGGUCUGUACUGGUGUAUAGCGGUUCUUAGGGGUGCAUACUGGUGUAUAGUGGUUCUUACGGGUGCAUACUGGUCUAUACUGGUCCAUACUGGGCAGAGAACUGAGCGCAAACAAUAGGCCCGCGAGUGCGUCAACUGCGGGGCGACGGCGACGCCGCUGUGGCGGCGGGACGGGACGGGGCACUACCUGUGCAACGCCUGCGGGCUGUACCACCGCCUCAACGGGCACAACCGGCCCCUCAUCCGCCCCAAGAAGCGCCUCGUGAGCCCCCCUAAUCCCCGCUAAUCCCCCCUAAUCCCACCCCCAGUCCCCCGGAAUCCCC